UACGUAGGUGGCAAGCGUUGUCCGGAAUUAUUGGGCGUAAAGCGCGCGCAGGCGGUCCCUUAAGUCUGAUGUGAAAGCCCACGGCUCAACCGUGGAGGGUCAUUAGAAACUGGGGGACUUGAGUACAGAAGAGGAAAGCGGAAUUCCACGUGUAGCGGUGAAAUGCGUAGAGAUGUGGAGGAACACCAGUGGCGAAGGCAGCGCGCUGGGACGGUACUGACGCUGAGACGCGAAAGCGUGGGGAGCAAACAGG
Molecule: ribosomal RNA, 253 nt
Filed under: uncultured bacterium
Lineage: Bacteria
Description: partial 16S ribosomal RNA
Rfam family: Bacterial small subunit ribosomal RNA
Source: RNAcentral